UGUAUUCUGAAUAAAAUAUUGAAAUUUGAAACUUCCACAUCAUUGCAUUCUGUUUUUAUUCACAAUUUGUAAAGUGUCCCAACUUUUUUUGGAAUCGGGUUUGUAUAAUAAUAUAAUAUAAUAUGUUUAUUCACCACUAAAUCAGCAUAUCAGAAUAAUUUCACCCUAUUUGUAAAAUCAAAUAUGUUCAAAGACUUUUUCUUUUUUUAGAUUCCAAAUGUUUAGAACUACCAGGGGAAGGUCCACCCACAGACGAAGGAGACACAGACACGUCUCACGCAGUAUCACAUUCAGAGUUGUUAUGUUGCUAAGACACGUGGAUCGAUUUACAUCACAUAAUGGACAU
Molecule: long non-coding RNA, 346 nt
Organism: Cyprinus carpio carpio
Lineage: Eukaryota; Metazoa; Chordata; Actinopteri; Cypriniformes; Cyprinidae
Source: Ensembl